Molecule: ribosomal RNA, 521 nt
Filed under: uncultured bacterium
Lineage: Bacteria
Description: bacterial SSU rRNA
Rfam family: Bacterial small subunit ribosomal RNA
Source: RNAcentral
UGGGGAAUCUUGGACAAUGGGGGCAACCCUGAUCCAGCCAUGCCGCGUGAGUGAUGAAGGCCUUAGGGUCGUAAAGCUCUUUCGCCUGUGAAGAUAAUGACGGUAGCAGGUAAAGAAACCCCGGCUAACUCCGUGCCAGCAGCCGCGGUAAUACGGAGGGGGUUAGCGUUGUUCGGAAUUACUGGGCGUAAAGCGCACGUAGGCGGACUGGAAAGUUGGGGUGAAAUCCCAGGGCUCAACCCUGGAACUGCCUCCAAAACUAUCAGUCUAGAGUUCGAGAGAGGUGAGUGGAAUUCCGAGUGUAGAGGUGAAAUUCGUAGAUAUUCGGAGGAACACCAGUGGCGAAGGCGGCUCACUGGCUCGAUACUGACGCUGAGGUGCGAAAGUGUGGGGAGCAAACAGGAUUAGAUACCCUGGUAGUCCACACCGUAAACGAUGAAUGCCAGUCGUCGGGUAGCAUGCUAUUCGGUGACACACCUAACGGAUUAAGCAUUCCGCCUGGGGAGUACGGUCGCAAGAUU